CCAACCCUGAGGUAUUUGCCAGGCCGUCAGACCCCUGAGCCGAUGCUUUUAUACCCGGAACAAUCCAGUCGGGAUUUGUGUGCAUGUCCGCGCGACGGAAAGCCUGAAAAUCCCGCGGGGCGUUCCACCUUGAACCGCUGGGUUCAAGGGCCAAGCGGCCAGCGGUACCCCGGGGCCUUA
This 180-nucleotide non-coding RNA is filed under the name Spongiibacter sp. RNAcentral's name for it is "6S RNA". It matches the Rfam family "6S / SsrS RNA". Rfam says of the family: E. coli 6S RNA was the first non coding RNA to be sequenced, but its function was unknown until recently. It consists of 184 nucleotides that fold into an extended hairpin structure with a large single-stranded internal bulge. Lineage: Bacteria; Pseudomonadati; Pseudomonadota; Gammaproteobacteria; Cellvibrionales; Spongiibacteraceae. The record is from RNAcentral. RNAcentral also lists the same sequence under 1 other name.